GUGGGGAAUCUUCCGCAAUGGACGAAAGUCUGACGGAGCAACGCCGCGUGAACGAUGACGGCCUUCGGGUUGUAAAGUUCUGUUAUACGGGACGAAUGGUACGUCGGCCAAUACCCGUCGUAAGUGACGGUACCGUAAGAGAAAGCCACGGCUAACUACGUGCCAGCAGCCGCGGUAAUACGUAGGUGGCAAGCGUUGUCCGGAAUUAUUGGGCGUAAAGGGCGCGCAGGCGGCGUCGUAAGUCGGUCUUAAAAGUGCGGGGCUUAACCCCGUGAGGGGACCGAAACUGCGAUGCUAGAGUAUCGGAGAGGAAAGCGGAAUUCCUAGUGUAGCGGUGAAAUGCGUAGAUAUUAGGAAGAACACCAGUGGCGAAGGCGACUUUCUGGACGAAAACUGACGCUGAGGCGCGAAAGCCAGGGGAGCGAACGGGAUUAGAAACCCGUGUAGUCC
Molecule: ribosomal RNA, 450 nt
Filed under: uncultured bacterium
Lineage: Bacteria
Description: partial 16S ribosomal RNA
Rfam family: Bacterial small subunit ribosomal RNA
Source: RNAcentral